RNAcentral lists this ribosomal RNA (402 nucleotides) under uncultured Devosia sp. Its description in RNAcentral is "bacterial SSU rRNA". It matches the Rfam family "Bacterial small subunit ribosomal RNA", at positions 355 to 774 of the family's 1533-position model. Lineage: Bacteria; Pseudomonadati; Pseudomonadota; Alphaproteobacteria; Hyphomicrobiales; Devosiaceae. The record is from RNAcentral.
UGGGGAAUAUUGGACAAUGGGCGAAAGCCUGAUCCAGCCAUGCCGCGUGAGUGAUGAAGGCCUUAGGGUUGUAAAGCUCUUUCAGUAGGGAAGAUAAUGACGGUACCUACAGAAGAAGCCCCGGCUAACUUCGUGCCAGCAGCCGCGGUAAUACGAAGGGGGCUAGCGUUGUUCGGAUUUACUGGGCGUAAAGCGCACGUAGGCGGAUCGUUAAGUCAGGGGUGAAAUCCUGGAGCUCAACUCCAGAACUGCCUUUGAUACUGGCGAUCUUGAGUCCGGAAGAGGUGAGUGGAACUCCUAGUGUAGAGGUGGAAUUCGUAGAUAUUAGGAAGAACACCAGUGGCGAAGGCGGCUCACUGGUCCGGUACUGACGCUGAGGUGCGAAAGCGUGGGGAGCAAACA